AUGGCAGCGCGCGUGCGCGAAGGAAUUCUGGGCUUUGUAGUUCCAGCCACAGCCGCAACUACCCGUGGGUCCGGAACCUAGAAGUAGAGCUCCUGAGACUAGUGGUUGGCGUACCUUGGUGGCCACUUAGCUCUGUAGUUAACUUGCUUAUAGAGGCAUGAUUGUGACCCCAGGAUUGGGCUUUUUGGAAGAAAAUCGGAAGUGCGUUGUCACGAACCAGAGCUGCCCGGAUCUGGCAAAUUGGCGCGGUUCCCAGAACCGCCUAACAGGAAGCUAAUCAGCGGCGGACACUCGGAAGAGGCCCUGAAGGUAGAAGGAGGAAAGGAUACGGAGACCUCCAGAAAAGAAUACCAGCUUGGAGCCCAAAGUGUCCUUCCCGCAACACGUGAAAACGAGAUUUCCUUCCCUUUUUCAAACACCACUAGCAAAGGGUACACAGCCCCUGUGAGGGCCAGUAUGGGAAUCUAAGCAAGACAAUGCGGGAGUCCCUCGAAGACUUUGAAGAAGCGAGAAGAGCAAUGAGGCUGUGUAGCAUAACUUUGUAUUAGGUGUUGACUGUGUUAAGCUCUUUCGUGAGGAGGAAAUCCCUCUCCCAUCCUUACGCACGAAUUUAGAGAAGAAAAAUCUCAAAAGAGGUUAAGCAGCUUUCCAAGGCUAUAAAACUAAUUAGUGGCCGAACCAAAA
Molecule: long non-coding RNA, 684 nt
Organism: Suricata suricatta (meerkat)
Lineage: Eukaryota; Metazoa; Chordata; Mammalia; Carnivora; Herpestidae
Exons: 2
Source: RefSeq, a predicted model, not a curated record